ACUACUAAAGGACAAUAAGAAGAAGAAGAAUAAGAGACCACUACUAAAGGACAAUAAGAAGAAGAAACCACUACUAAAGGACAAUAAGAAGAAGAAACCACUACUAAAGGACAAUAAGAAGAAGAAACCACUACUAAAGGACAAUAAGAAGAAGAAGAAGAAGAAACCACUACUAAAGGACAAUAAGAAGAAGAAGAAGAAGAAACCACUACUAAAGGACAAUAAGAAGAAGAAGAAGAAGAAACCACUACUAAAGGACAAUAAGAAGAAGAAGAAGAAACCACUACUAAAGGACACUAAGAAGAAGAAGAAGAAACCACUACUAAAGGACAAUAAGAAGAAGAAACCACUACUAAAGGACAAUAAGAAGAAGAAGAAGAAACCACUACUAAAGGACAAUAAGAAGAAGAAACCACUACUAAAGGACACUAAGAAGAAGAAGAAGAAACCACUACUAAAGGACAAUAAGAAGAAGAAGAAGAAGAAGAAGAAGAAACCACUACUAAAGGACACUAAGAAGAAGAAGAAGAAACCACUACUAAAGGACAAUAAGAAGAAGAAGAAACCACUACUAAAGGAAAAUAAGAAGAAGAAACCACUACUAAAGGACAAUAAGAAGAAGAAACCACUACUAAAGGACAAUAAGAAGAAGAAGAAGAAGAGACCACUACUAAAGGACAAUAAGAAGAAGAAACCACUACUAAAGGACAAUAAGAAGAAGAAGAAGAAACCACUACUAAAGGACAAUAAGAAGAAGAAGAAACCACUACUAAAGGACAAUAAGAAGAAGAAGAAGAAACCACUACUAAAGGACAAUAAGAAGAAGAAGAAACCACUACUAAAGGACAAUAAGAAGAAGAAGAAGAAGAAACCACUACUAAAGGACAAUAAGAAGAAGAAGAAGAAGAAGAAACCACUACUAAAGGACAAUAAGAAGAAGAAAUCACUACUAAAGGACAAUAAGAAGAAGAGACCACUACUAAAGGACAAUAAGAAGAAGAAGAAGAAACCACUACUAAAGGACAAUAAGAAGAAGAAGAAGAAACCACUACUAAAGGACACUAAGAAGAAGAAGAAGAAGAAGAAGAAACCACUACUAAAGGACAAUAAUAAGAAGAAGAAGAAACCACUACUAAAGGACAAUAAGAAGAAGAAGAAGAAGAAACCACUACUAAAGGACACUAAGAAGAAGAAGAAGAAGAAACCACUACUAAAGGACAAUAAGAAGAAGAAGAAACCACUACUAAAGGACAAUAAGAAGAAGAAGAAGAAGAAGAAACCACUACUAAAGGACAA
Molecule: long non-coding RNA, 1296 nt
Organism: Oncorhynchus tshawytscha (Chinook salmon)
Lineage: Eukaryota; Metazoa; Chordata; Actinopteri; Salmoniformes; Salmonidae
Source: Ensembl